GAUGAAGAACGUAGCGAAAUGCGAUACGUAGUGUGAAUUGCAGAAUUCAGUGAAUCGUCGAAUCUUUGAACGCACAUUGCACCUCUCGGUAUUCCGGGAGGUAUGCCUGUUCGAGCGUCAUUUGUACCCUCAAGCUCUGCUUGGUGUUGGGUGUUUGUUCCGCCUCUGUGUGUGAACUCGCCUCAAAACAAUUGGCAGCCGGCGUACUUGUUUCGGAGCGCAGCACAUUUUGCGAUCCAGAUCAACGUACAGCGGCAUCCAAGAAGCCUUAUUUAACGCUCUUGACCUCGGAUCAGGUAGGGAUACCCGCUGAACUUAAGCAUAUCAAUAAGCGGAGGA
RNAcentral lists this unclassified non-coding RNA (339 nucleotides) under soil metagenome. RNAcentral's name for it is "partial contains 5.8S ribosomal RNA, internal transcribed spacer 2, and large subunit ribosomal RNA". The stretch from base 1 to 120 matches the Rfam family "5.8S ribosomal RNA", at positions 35 to 154 of the family's 154-position model. The record is from RNAcentral.